AGAAUUGCCCAGGAGCUUACAGAAAACGAAAUUCUGAUGUUUCAGAAGUACGCCAGGAGCCUGUAGUAGCGUCACUAGCAACCAGUGGAUCUAACAAAGAGGGAUCGGUGUGGUCUCUGUCUGGGCUUCUCAAUGCUCUUCACCGAUUACAACAAAACCGAUUCUCCUAUACUGACGACGAAGAUAUUUAGGAAAUACUCCAUUCUGCAUUAUUCUUAAGAUGGAAGUUUCCUGAGUGAAAAAUUGUUCGACUUAAUAUCACUAAAACUAUAUUUUUUGUGAAAUCUACCUGAUGUUGUGACAAUAUGUUAUUUCGCGAAAUUUUAAUACAGAGAACUCUGCAUUCAAGUGUUGCAUGUACAUUUCAAAUAACUUCUAUUUAAAGGUAAAAUAAAAACAUUUGUUACCAAUUGCAAAGAAAUAAUAAA
Molecule: long non-coding RNA, 428 nt
Organism: Ostrea edulis (European flat oyster)
Lineage: Eukaryota; Metazoa; Mollusca; Bivalvia; Ostreida; Ostreidae
Exons: 4
Source: RefSeq, a predicted model, not a curated record